UACGCACGCUGGCGGCGUGCUUAACACAUGCAAGUCGAACGGAAAGGCCCUGCUUUUGUGGGGUGCUCGAGUGGCGAACGGGUGAGUAACACGUGAGUAACCUGCACUUGACUUUGGGAUAACUUCAGGAAACUGGGGCUAAUACCGGAUAGGAGCUCCUGCUGCAUGGUGGGGGUUGGAAAGUUUCGGCGGUUGGGGAUGGACUCGCUGCUUAUCCGCUUGUUGGUGGGGUUGUGGCUUACCAAGGCUUUGACGGGUAGCCGGCCUGAGAGGGUGACCGGCCACAUUGGGACUGAGAGACGGCCCAGACUCCUACGGGAGGCAGCAGUGGGGAAUAUUGCACAAUGGGCGGAAGCCUGAUGCAGCAACGCCGCGUGCGGUAUGACGGCCUUCGGGUUGUAAACCGCUUUCGCCUGUGACGAAGCGUGAGUGACGGUAAUGGGUAAAGAAGCACCGGCUAACUACGUG
This 468-nucleotide ribosomal RNA is filed under the name uncultured bacterium. RNAcentral's name for it is "partial 16S ribosomal RNA". It matches the Rfam family "Bacterial small subunit ribosomal RNA", at positions 29 to 507 of the family's 1533-position model. The record is from RNAcentral.